GAUGAACGCUGGCGGCGUGCCUAAUACAUGCAAGUCGAGCGAACAGACGAGGAGCUUGCUCCUCUGACGUUAGCGGCGGACGGGUGAGUAACACGUGGAUAACCUACCUAUAAGACUGGGAUAACUUCGGGAAACCGGAGCUAAUACCGGAUAAUAUAUUGAACCGCAUGGUUCAAUAGUGAAAGACGGUUUUGCUGUCACUUAUAGAUGGAUCCGCGCCGCAUUAGCUAGUUGGUAAGGUAACGGCUUACCAAGGCAACGAUGCGUAGCCGACCUGAGAGGGUGAUCGGCCACACUGGAACUGAGACACGGUCCAGACUCCUACGGGAGGCAGCAGUAGGGAAUCUUCCGCAAUGGGCGAAAGCCUGACGGAGCAACGCCGCGUGAGUGAUGAAGGUCUUCGGAUCGUAAAACCCUUUUAUUAGGGAAGAACAAAAGUGGAAGGAACCAUGGACGUCUUGACGGUACCUAAACAGAAAGCCACGGCUAACUUCGUG
This 497-nucleotide ribosomal RNA is filed under the name uncultured bacterium. RNAcentral's name for it is "partial 16S ribosomal RNA". It matches the Rfam family "Bacterial small subunit ribosomal RNA", at positions 28 to 507 of the family's 1533-position model. The record is from RNAcentral.